RNAcentral lists this ribosomal RNA (253 nucleotides) under uncultured bacterium. RNAcentral's name for it is "partial 16S ribosomal RNA". It matches the Rfam family "Bacterial small subunit ribosomal RNA", at positions 524 to 776 of the family's 1533-position model. The record is from RNAcentral.
GACGAAGGAUCCAAGCGUUAUCCGGAUUCAUUGGGUUUAAAGGGCGCGUAGGCGGGUUUAUAAGUCAGUGGUGAAAGCCGAUCGCUUAACGAUCGAACUGCCAUUGAUACUGUAGACCUAGAGUACAGAUGAUGUUGGCGGAAUAUGACAUGUAGCGGUGAAAUGCAUAGAUAUGUCAUAGAACACCGAUUGCGAAGGCAGCUGACAAAACUGUAACUGACGCUGAGGCUCGAAAGUGCGGGGAUCAAACAGG